UGGCACAGGUAGAGCUCGCUUAUGUGAGUGGGCGGGGAAUUACUCAGGGUGCUUUUCAGGUUCCAAAUAGGCUCGGAUAGAGGAGUCUGGAAGCUCAUUGUCCUUCCUCCAUGAAUCCAGAUUAUUCAUCUGUCCCAAGACACGCCUCAGCGGGGUCUGGCCACCUGUCUUUGCCCCGCAGACCCCUCACGGUCGUGGGUCCUCAUCGGCAAGGCUGCCGUUCACCUGCCCGCCUCCCCCACUCUCUCAUCCCUCUAGGGUCGUCGGACCCAAGAUAAAGACUACACUUCCCAGCCUUCUUUGCAGCCAAUGGGAGUUGGUGAGUGAGGCUCCCAGGUGUCCUUCAAAAGAGAUGGUCACACGCCUUCCCUGCCCAUUCUCCUUCCUGCUGGCUGGAAUGUGGAUUCAGAGGUUAGGGCCGAAGCCCCAUCUUGGACCAUGAGAUGGCCACCCUAACAGACCGAGGCUUGCAUCGAUCAGUGAGGGGCUGCCGAGCACUGUGGCUGGGGGUCCUACUGGGCCGUCUGAUUACAGCUCCAACAGCACAGUGAGAGUCCGGAUGUGGAAGGAUUAUCCAGAGAGAAUCCAGGAAUCAACGCUUUGUUUCGGCCUGAAAGAAGGAAAGCCUACCUCCAGUCCUCGGCUCUUGUAAUCCAAGCGGUCAAGGUCACCGCCUUCAAGCUCAAGCUCAGUUUCAGUAGCAUACUGCAGGCUCCAUGCCCAGCGUGGAGCCCAACGUGAGGCUUGAACCUGAGAUCAAGAGUCAGACACUUAGCUGCCCAGGACCCCCUUUGUGACUGA
Long non-coding RNA from Mustela lutreola (European mink), 801 nucleotides. RefSeq lists it as uncharacterized. Lineage: Eukaryota; Metazoa; Chordata; Mammalia; Carnivora; Mustelidae. The record is from RefSeq and is a predicted model, not a curated record. The transcript is spliced from 4 exons.